RNAcentral lists this long non-coding RNA (979 nucleotides) under Chloebia gouldiae (Gouldian finch). Its description in RNAcentral is "Erythrura gouldiae (Gouldian finch) lncRNA (ENSEGOG00005013195.1)". The record is from RNAcentral. Lineage: Eukaryota; Metazoa; Chordata; Aves; Passeriformes; Passeridae.
CUUGGUCUGCAGCUCCUGUCUCUGACACUGAGCUUCUGCUAUUUCAGCUACAGUAUGCGUAGACUGCCAAAGCCAGGAUAUUACAAAUCAGAGGGGUUUAAAACAAGCGACUGGGGGGCUAAAUCCCUCUUUCAGACACACAGUCGACACUCCCUUCACGGGAGGGCGGUGGUUUUUAAUCAUGCCUUUAAAAUUCCUUAAAAGCAGGGGGUCUCCCCUCCGCGAGGGGCGGUCGGCAGAGUGCGUGCCUUAUGAAUAAACCGGCUAUUAGGCUGAUGCUUCAAGUAACAUUAUCCAGCACCAAGAAGAGCCUCAGCAUCCUAAUGUCACUGAUUUUGAUGGGGAAAAAACAUCUGGCCUACUGCAGUGAUUCUGAAAUCCCACAAGGUAUAAAGUUGAUGGAGAGUCUUGUGAUUCGUGGCAGUAGGGAUACAUUGGAGAAGAUAACAACCAGAAGUUGCAAGGCUCCUUCAUGUCCUGGAUCCUUUUCAGCAAGGGACUGUGUAAUAACUUACAGAAUGAGUUAAAUGAAGAAACUAUGGAAGUACAGUGAUCAGAAAAUGUGCAAUGGUCUCUGAUGUACAGAGGUGCUGUCUGCAAGCACUAAUGCCUCAGCUGGUUUUCCUCCAUUAUCUUGUCUGCUAUUUAUUUUUAACUCUGAUGGUUUAAUCAGUGCCACAUGGAUUGAAUGCUUCAGGUAUCUGGAGCUCAUGGAGGGCUACAACAGCAGGUGCAAGAGGCUCACAGUAAUGAUUGCCAUUCAGCCCUGUGCAAUCUGGUUUCAUUGGAAAUUACUUGUUACAGAUAGAUAUUUUGAGUCAUCAAUCAUUUUAAAUCCCUUUUGUCUGAGGUAUCUUGCAUCCAUAGUCGUGACUCCAAAAGUUAAAGAAUGAAACCUGUGCCAAAAAAAUAAUUCCCUUUUUUUCUGCACGUCUCAUUGUUUAGUGAGCGUUUCUUGAAAAAAUAAAAGUAAACUUAG